AGGAAGGUGGGGAUGACGUCAAGUCAUCAUGGCCCUUACGACCAGGGCUACACACGUGCUACAAUGGCGCAUACAAAGAGAAGCGACCUCGCGAGAGCAAGCGGACCUCAUAAAGUGCGUCGUAGUCCGGAUUGGAGUCUGCAACUCGACUCCAUGAAGUCGGAAUCGCUAGUAAUCGUGGAUCAGAAUGCCACGGUGAAUACGUUCCCGGGCCUUGUACACACCGCCCGUCACACCAUGGGAGUGGGUUGCAAAAGAAGUAGGUAGCUUAACCUUCGGGAGGGCGCUUACCACUUUGUGAUUCAUGACUGGGGUGAAGUCGUAACAAGGUAACCGUAGGGGAACCUGCGGUUGGAUCACCUCCUU
RNAcentral lists this ribosomal RNA (366 nucleotides) under Escherichia coli. Its description in RNAcentral is "bacterial SSU rRNA". It matches the Rfam family "Bacterial small subunit ribosomal RNA", at positions 1167 to 1532 of the family's 1533-position model. Lineage: Bacteria; Pseudomonadati; Pseudomonadota; Gammaproteobacteria; Enterobacterales; Enterobacteriaceae. The record is from RNAcentral.